This 281-nucleotide ribosomal RNA is filed under the name uncultured bacterium. Its description in RNAcentral is "partial 16S ribosomal RNA". It matches the Rfam family "Bacterial small subunit ribosomal RNA", at positions 506 to 784 of the family's 1533-position model. The record is from RNAcentral.
UGCCAGCCGCCGCGGUAACACGGGGGGCGCAAGCGUUAUUCGGAAUUAUUGGGCGUAAAGGGCGCGUAGGUGGAUAUGUGCGUGAGAUGUGAAAUCCUUGGGCUUAACCUGAGAACGGCAUUUCAUACGGCAUAUCUUAAGAGUGUGAGAGGGGAAGGCGGAAUGGCCAGUGGAGCAGUGAAAUGCAUUGAGAUUGGCUGGAACACCGGAGGCGAAGGCGGCCUUCUGGCUCACAACUGACACUGAGGCGCGAAAGCGUGGGGAGCAAACAGGAUUAGAUA